This 424-nucleotide ribosomal RNA is filed under the name Barypeithes indigens. RNAcentral's name for it is "partial 16S ribosomal RNA". The record is from RNAcentral. Lineage: Eukaryota; Metazoa; Arthropoda; Insecta; Coleoptera; Curculionidae.
GGUAUUUUGACCGUGCAAAGGUAGCAUAAUCAUUAGUUUUUUAAUUGAAAGCUGGAAUGAAAGGCUGGAUGAGAAAAUAACUGUCUCUAUAUAAUUUAUUUAUAAUUUUAUUUUUAAGUUAAAAAGCUUAAAUUUAAUUAGAAGACGAGAAGACCCUAUAGAGUUUUAUUAAUUUAUUUGAAAAAAAUUUUUAGUAUUAAGUAUUUUUAUUGAAGAAAUUAAUUUUGUUGGGGUGAUUGAAAAAUUUAUUGAACUUUUUUUAAAAUUUUUACAUUUAUUUAUGAGUUUUUGAUCCUUAUUUUAAGAUUAAAAGAUUAAAUUACCUUAGGGAUAACAGCGUAAUUUUUUUUAAGAGUUCUAAUCAAAAAGAAAGAUUGCGACCUCGAUGUUGGAUUAAAAUAAAAUUUUGGUGUAGAAGCUAAAA